This 259-nucleotide long non-coding RNA is filed under the name Lathyrus oleraceus (garden pea). RNAcentral describes it as "Pisum sativum (pea) long non-coding RNA (PSAT_LNC025043)". Lineage: Eukaryota; Viridiplantae; Streptophyta; Magnoliopsida; Fabales; Fabaceae. The record is from RNAcentral.
GCUGCUAUUGUGGAAGAGGAUGCAGAGGAAGAUUCUGACAACUUUGUCAUCCCUGGAGGGGUCUGCUAUAACUGGGUCGCUGUUGAUGUUCCAAUAGUCGUCCAUAAGUCAACGUAAUGUUCAUUUUGUUUAAAAACCCUUCUCACAUGCCAAAAGGAGGAGUGAUGACAUUGUUGGCUCAUAAAUACAAUGAUAUUUUCAUUCAAUAAAUUCAUGUUAAAUGUUUGUUUUUUCAAUUAUUUUCACUUUUUGUUUUUUG